AAUGAUGUGCCUGAUUAAAGGAUUAUCUUGAUAGGAUAAAUCAAAUACUUCUCGUAGUAUCAUCAUUA
Molecule: transfer RNA, 68 nt
Filed under: Chasmoptera huttii
Lineage: Eukaryota; Metazoa; Arthropoda; Insecta; Neuroptera; Nemopteridae
Description: tRNA-Ile
Source: RNAcentral